RNAcentral lists this ribosomal RNA (245 nucleotides) under uncultured bacterium. RNAcentral describes it as "partial 16S ribosomal RNA". It matches the Rfam family "Bacterial small subunit ribosomal RNA", at positions 524 to 768 of the family's 1533-position model. The record is from RNAcentral.
UACAGAGGUGUCUAGCGUUGUCCGGAAUUACUGGGCGUAAAGGGCGUGUAGGUGGGCAGGUAAGUCGGAUGUGAAAUCACUGGGCUUAACCCAGUAACUGCAUCCGAAACUGCUUGUCUUGAGUGCAGAAGAGGAGAGUGGAAUUCCCAGUGUAGCGGUGAAAUGCGUAGAUAUUGGGAGGAACACCAGUGGCGAAGGCGGCUCUCUGGUCUGCAACUGACACUGAAACGCGAAAGCCAGGGGAG